Molecule: unclassified non-coding RNA, 260 nt
Filed under: uncultured Xylariales
Lineage: Eukaryota; Fungi; Ascomycota; Sordariomycetes; Xylariales
Description: sequence contains 5.8S rRNA gene, ITS2, 28S rRNA gene
Source: RNAcentral
AACGCACAUUGCGCCCAUUAGUAUUCUAGUGGGCAUGCCUGUUCGAGCGUCAUUUCAACCCUUAAGCCUAGCUUAGCGUUGGGAGACUGCACUAGACCGCAGCUCCUCAAAACCAGUGGCGGAGUCUUCUCGUACUCUGAGCGCAGUAAUUCAUUAUCUCGCUUCUGUAAGUACGGCUGACGACAGCCAUAAACCGCACCCUUCGGGGGCACUUUUUAAUGGUUGACCUCGGAUCAGGUAGGAAUACCCGCUGAACUUAA